Molecule: ribosomal RNA, 253 nt
Filed under: uncultured bacterium
Lineage: Bacteria
Description: partial 16S ribosomal RNA
Rfam family: Bacterial small subunit ribosomal RNA
Source: RNAcentral
UACAGAGGGGGCAAGCGUUAUUCGGAAUUAUUGGGCGUAAAGGGCGCGUAGGCGGCUUCGCAAGUGACGGGUGAAAUCCCUCGGCUUAACCGAGGAACUGCCUGUCAAACUGCGUGGCUUGAGACCAGGAGAGGUGAGUGGAAUUCCCAGUGUAGCGGUGAAAUGCGUAGAUAUUGGGAGGAACACCAGUGGCGAAGGCGGCUCACUGGACUGGUACUGACGCUGAGGCGCGAAAGCUAGGGGAGCGAACGGG